Small nucleolar RNA from Panicum virgatum (switchgrass), 66 nucleotides. RefSeq annotates it as small nucleolar RNA SNORD25. Lineage: Eukaryota; Viridiplantae; Streptophyta; Magnoliopsida; Poales; Poaceae. The transcript has a single exon. The record is from RefSeq and is a predicted model, not a curated record.
CCUAACAGACUUGUAAUGAUUCUUGCGGUUAUGAUUGCUUGAUACAUAGAACAUCUAAGGGACUGA